CCUACGGGUGGCAGCAGUGAGGAAUAUUGGUCAAUGGGCGAGAGCCUGAACCAGCCAAGUCGCGUGAGGGAGUACUGCCCUAUGGGUUGUAAACCUCUUUUGUCGGGGAGCAAAAGCCGGACGUGUCCGGCUGUGAGAGUACCCGAAGAAAAAGCAGCGGCUACCUCCGUGCCAGCAGCCGCGGUAAUACGGAGGAUGCGAGCGUUAUCCGGAUUUAUUGGGUUUAAAGGGUGCGCAGGCGGGUUUUUAAGUUAGCGGGAAAAUCGUGGGGCUCAACCCCAUCCAGCCGUUGAAACUGGGGAUCUAGAGUGUGCGAGAGGGAUGCGGAAUGCGUGGUGUAGCGGUGAAAUGCAUAGAUAUCACGCAGAACCCCGAUUGCGAAGGCAGCAUACCGGUGCACAACUGACGCUCAGGCACGAAAGCGUGGGUAUCGAACAGGAUUAGAUACCCGAGUAGUC
RNAcentral lists this ribosomal RNA (458 nucleotides) under uncultured bacterium. RNAcentral's name for it is "partial 16S ribosomal RNA". It matches the Rfam family "Bacterial small subunit ribosomal RNA", at positions 338 to 795 of the family's 1533-position model. The record is from RNAcentral.